Long non-coding RNA from Pangasianodon hypophthalmus (striped catfish), 5840 nucleotides. RefSeq lists it as uncharacterized. The record is from RefSeq and is a predicted model, not a curated record. Lineage: Eukaryota; Metazoa; Chordata; Actinopteri; Siluriformes; Pangasiidae. The transcript has 4 exons.
UCCCGUGGGUGGUACAACCUGGCAGAUUACAAAACACCCCUCCCAUGUGCCUCGCCACUCUCUGUGCCAGGGAGAAGCUACCGAUCUGAUGCUCCUGAAGAGUAUGAAAGUGUGAGCGGAGAGAGAGAGAGAGAGAGAGAGAGAGAGAGAGUAAUUAAGACAGAGAGAAGCAAAAAGAAAGAAAAAGCUAGUGGAAGGCAGUAGGACACAAUCGGCACCACUAUCUACUGAGAACAUCGGGGUAAGUGCCAGAAGCAUGCACGCAUACACACAAACAAACACUCAUACACACAUACAUUCAUUUCUUUUAUGUAUACUAUAUCUGUGUGCUUUCUCAUGCAUGACACCCCUCAGGCCUUUUGCGCUUGAAAACUUUCAGAACUAUAGUAAGAUGCAUGUAAGUCAUAAAGAUAUAAUGCUCCUGAACACUUUUGCUUCACACCAUAAUAGUGUAUAAACCUGUCAAACAUGGAAAAGCAUGAAGAAUACUUUAAUCACUGUCGACGCUGUAAAGCCUGGCAGUGGAGAAGUGAGUCUGGACCUUGAAACCCGCAGGCCUUUUACUGCAUGCAGUCAGUUUCAUAUAACAUUGUGCACACCGUCCUAAAAUCCUCACACAAGGAGAUAAAGAGUCUGAAAUGGCACCAAGAGCCUGAGAUCUGAGCUACAAUCACAUUGUAAAUGUAAUCAGUGCACAAAUGGAGUGAGCAGCACUCAUCCACACACACAGUCUCAGAUUCAGACAGAAAUGCAGGGAUGACACUGCUCAUAGCCAGCCUUGAGAUUUUGUCAAGGUUUCAGAAAAAAAAAAUAGUUGAGCAUCAGUGGGAGGUCAAAAAUUAAGUAGAAGACCCCAAAAUCUUACUAUGUUAGUAAAGCCAGAGUGCUUAGCAUUAAGAAUACUCCUGAUUUUUACAGAUGGAGAUUAACUCUGAUGAUCUGACAUGUAAAGAGUGGAGUGUCUCUCAGGCUUUCUCAGAUUUGAGAUUAGGUGGGGUACUGUCUUGAUUCCGCCCAUCGUAAGUCGCACAGUGACGUCUGGAGUGUGAUCUCUUUGAACAGUGACAUGCAAAUCUGAUUCAUGGACAGAAAAUAUUUUAUGUGACAGCACUUGACUCUACUGUUCGCCAGUACGAUUCUGAGUAACUUGGAGGUUAAAUGACUGAGAGGUUCAACUAAAAGGUCUUGUUCGUUUAGAAAUUACUUCACUGUCAAUUACCAGCUCUGCGUCCAAUAUGGAGGGUAAUGGAGACCAGAAUAUUCUAUUGAAGCUAGGAAUGAUGGGUGUAGGGUGGAAAAUCUGAAGUCCAGGCUAGUGCUUGAUCUCUAGAGACACAGCCAGACAUGCAGUUUGAUUUACACACCUGUUCUGUCUGUGUCGACGUGAUUCAUCCUCAAACGCAGGGACAAAUGAGGUAUUUUCCACAUGAAAACAUGACAAUUUGAAUGAUUUGCUCUUUGAUAUUUUGUGCUAUCGUGCUUCUGUUCUGCAUUCACAUAUGGGUGCAUGCACUAAUGUGUGGGUGUAAGCAUGUGUGAGGGUUCAAUAGUGUGGAAAACCCAUGUAGGGCAGCUGUCACUCCUGCCACUACUGAAUGUAGGAAUAUGCUCUCACUUAACCUGGCAUUAAAAUGUACAGUACGUCACUGUACAGCACCAACAAACUACCAAAUCAUACAACACUGCGCAGUAGUACACCUCGCUACACCAUGCCUACUUAACAUUACUCCAUAUUACUAUACUCUAAUUUAUUAGACACUAUGUUACUCAACUAUAGAACCUAUGAGUAUAUGAAUAGGGGUACCGUUUGUAUGAUAUGUGAUGCGUAUUCCACAUACCUGUUCUCAGGAAAAAAUGAGUUAAUCCUUCUAGAUACACUUUAGAUAAAUAUUACAGUCAGUACAUUUGUCUAUGCUACAUAUACGAUAUCUACAUAUUCAUCACCAUUGUUUAAAAAAAAUAAGAAUUAUUACAUUAUUGAGAUAUACGAAGCGGUCAUUACAGAUGACUCACUAUUCAGUGAAUAGCACUUAAGAAUACUUAUUCAAACCAUAAAUUGGAUUUUGAAAAAGUUCACUUGCACACACACACUGAUCAGAAAGCACAGAAAGCAUUUUUCUAAUCAUCAUUUCAUCUGGCUGUGGUCCCAUUUGCUCUCUGUGGCUCUGGGUGUGGUGCCGUAUGUAACCAAAUGCAGAGCGUUUAACCUCAUAUUCACCCUGAAGUGCAUCAGCCGUAAAGCUUUGCUUAACGUUUAUGCAAUGUGAAUUAUAUGAAAGCACAUUUAUUGAGAGCUGGAAGGUCAGAGAGUUUCUCAGGAACAAAAUGGUUUGUAUUUAUAUAAUAUUAAUUGAUAUAAAAUUACUUAAUAAAUCAAUAACAUGGCUGUAGAGGCUCUUUAUAUCCAUUAACACGCUGACAAGCAGAAAGCAGAGGCAAUACCUGUAAUACCUAAAUUAUUUUAUGCAUUGUACAUCUGAUAAAUUACAUUCAUUAAAUAAUUUGAUAUUAGUCUUUUUAAUAAUAUAGAAAAGUGGACAUAGGAUUCAAAAUGUUUUAACGGUAAUCAUAUGAUGCAUAUUGUAUAAACUAUAGUAUGUAAUGAGCAGCACAGUGCUUUCCUACUCUGCACGAUCACAAAAUGGCCGUGGUGGAGGUGCUGUCCACAGCCGUGUGAUUGACAGGGAGCUCCACGGUGUGGGUGGAUUUGCUCUGUACAUUGAGGUGCACAUGGAGUAUGCAUGCAGAUUCAUACCCGGUUCUCUCCCCCUUUGUUCUCCUGGGCACAUCCCAAAACAAAGGCAAUUAGGAGCAAAUUAAUUUGAUUUUUAUAAUCAGGAUAUUUGCUUUGUCUGUGCGCUGUGCAAACUGUUUUAAACCUGUGGGAAAAUGGUAUGGCGAACAUAUAAAAUGUACAUGCACUGUGUGUAGGGGUGUGUGUGGGUGUGUGCAUGGAUGCGUACAUGUGCGCAAGUGUGCAUCUGUGUCUUUCAUCACAUCUAUAUCGAGUUUUAUGUUCAAUUCAUUUCGAUGCAUUCUUGAUUUUUUUUUUUCUUUUUCAUUUGUAGUGUGGUAUACACAAAUACACUCUACUGACACUGACCUCAUGAUUAAGACUUAAUUUUUUUUUUUUUUAGUAGUUGCAUUAAUUGCAAUCAAAUGUAGGUGAAGGUUAAUCUAUAUGAAACAUAGCUGGACAAUAUGAAAAAUGUAUGUAAUAUUAUUAUGUAACAUAAAGAAUUGCAUUUCCAAUAUAGCAUGCUGGAGAUGAACCGUGAAUCAAACAAAUUAUAUCAGACAUCAGCUAAUAAACAAGUCUUUACUGAUCACUCACACUGAUUCUUCCCAAUUUUGUGAAUUUUUGUAUACAGCAUAUUUUGUCAGGUAAUAAUGCAGAUUAUCAAACAAAAGCCAUCAACAGAAAAUGCAAAAUCUCCCAUAGAAGGGACGAGAAUCCAUCUAACCUCUGUCUAUUUCUCCUUCACUAUCUCUUUCUUUCCAUCCAUCUUCUUGUUCCCCCUCUCAAAUUUUCCUCAUUGAUUGGGUUCAUAUGCUGGAAUUAGCCAUUCAUUUCCGUGUCUAAGCCCUGCCCCCUCUCUAUUUCUCCUGCUUUCUCUUUCUUCCCACCUCUCUGGUGUAGAACAGCUAGAUUACACACUUACACUGUGCCACAAAAUGUGCCACAAGGACAAGGACAAUAGUUUAUUGUUCAAACUCACUUUCCAUCAAACCCAUCUCUCAGCAUCUCUCACAUCCAUCCUCUUAUCUGAAGCCUUGAUUAUUGUUUGGCAAAAAGUCAAACUUCAGGUAGAGUAAAAAAAAGCCUGUUAUAUAAUUUUCUUUCCUGAAACGGUUUGGGUAUAAUGUGUAUAGUAAAUAAAUAAGAAAGAAAUAAAAGGAACACGAAAAACAAGAAAAUCCUUUCAGCAUUUUUUUCUUUUCAUCUGUCUGUCUCAUGAAUUGUGACUUUAAUCCGUGUUAAAAUAGCAAAACCCUUAUUCCAUAUAAUGGCACCAUUAAGAGUUAUUAAUAAUGCAAAGAGUGUGUAUGUGAUGUGGAAAUGUGUGCGUUUGGACCCUCGUUACCUUUCAACGGUUUCAUAAAACACACAUGUUCUAUAUCUGUUACUGCUUCAUGACUGUCAGGGUGGUGGCUUGUAGGGUUUCCCUGUACUUGUUUCCUGUUUGUAGCAGCCCUCUGGCCAUUUACACAUUCACACACACACGCAUACGCACACAUACAUGCACACAAAUAGAUACACACACUUAGGCACGCACAUGCAUCAUGUGAUUGCACUGGAUUCUCAUCGGGAUUCUUUGUGUGAACACUUGCAUGCUGUCAUGUGCACAUUUUGUGUGUGUGUGUGUGUGUGUGUGCACUCUGUUGCUCCUGCAUAUCUCCACACGUACUGGGUGAGAGCUUUGUGUGGGAGGAGUUAGUGGAGAACAAUGAUGGGCUCUCUUGUCUGCCUGCCCAUGCGUGUGUGAGAAUGUUUGUGGGAGCGUGAGUGUGUGUGCAGGCUCCUCUAUGCUAAUGCUAAAGAAAGUGCCACAGGAAGAUGGUGGUCCUUUACUGUGGUUGUAAGCUACCAACAGCCCAUUGUAUGUUAUCUACUACACCAGAGCUCAGAAGAUCAUAAAGGUGAGUGGAUGCUGUUAUCUGGUGACACAGGCAGGAUAAGCGCAGUGGACAGAGCUGUAUGGUGGGGCGGGUCAGCUGGUGUUGUGAAUCAGGCCGCCGUAAUGAGUGGGCACGGCUUCUUCAUAACACCAGGGUCACACCCUACCACACUCAGCACCUGCCAGCGCGCACACACAUAUCCACACAUAUACACUCAUAUCCACAUAUGCACACAAACACACUGACCCAAGCAGUACCAACUGACAUCACGGGAAAAAUGGAAGUGUUUAAGUAUUUUUGGUAUUUAAAUGCUUAUUCAAAACUAAAAAAAUUAAACUCAUGCAUUGUUAAUACAUAAAUUUUUAUAUGUUUGAUGUAUAGAUGUGUUGCUAUUUUGAAAUAAAAAAAUUAACAUUACAUUCAAUUAAAUACAUAUAAUUACAUUGCUUUUUUUUUUUUUUUUUUUUUUUUACUAGGCCUGAAAUUAUUUUCAUUAAAACAGCAUACCAUGUUUAAUGAAUCUUGUUACCCAUCUGUUGUUCUUAGACAUAUUUGCUUCUAGUGAGGUCUCAGUAUGCUGGGUUUAUUCAUUCUCUUACUUAUAGGACAGCCAAUGUUCUACUGUAAAUAUGUGUAUAACUGAGUGAAGGUUUUCACUGUUGGGUUUAUGGACACAUUGCUAUAAUUCCACUAACAGUACAGUGCUACUAUUAAGUGGUUAUCGUUAUACAGGUUGUAAAAUUAAUAAUAAACAUUAGUCAUUGCCAAAUUAACGUUUUUUCAAAACAUUUCAAACAUUCCCGGCGUUCAGUUUAAUUAAUGACCAAAAUGCACUACAACUAUUAAACCACCACAAACCCAUCUCAUAAUAAAUUCUUUCAUCAAAACACAACAUUAUAUUUCUUCUAACAAGAGCACGCUGUCCAUCAGAGCACAAUGUUUAAAAACCACUAACAAGCGUCAUUACAGUAGGUGUACUAAAUGAUAUAUAUUGAUGACAAAAUAAAAGAAAUAAUAGUUUAUUUUCAAUUACAAACAGAAUGAUACAUCUUGAAGGCUCCAGGCUCCCUGCGACCCUGUGUAGGAUGAGCGGUAUAGAAAAUGGAUGUAUGGAUGAUACAUCUUGAUUGUAUAUGCCAUAUAAACCAGAAAAAAUAAUUACAAUUGAAGUGCAAGAGACAAGCAAAAAUGAUUAUAAUCUUUCUGUCUCUUCUGCGUGG